UACGAAGGGGGCUAGCGUUGUUCGGAAUUACUGGGCGUAAAGCGCACGUAGGCGGGUUUGUAAGUAGGGGGUGAAAUCCCAGAGCUCAACUCUGGAACUGCCUUCUAAACUGCAAGCCUGGAGGUCAGGAGAGGCGAGUGGAAUACCGAGUGUAGAGGUGAAAUUCGUAGAUAUUCGGAAGAACACCAGUGGCGAAGGCGGCUCACUGGACUGGUAUUGACGCUGAGGUGCGAAAGCGUGGGGAGCAAACAGG
This 253-nucleotide ribosomal RNA is filed under the name uncultured bacterium. RNAcentral's name for it is "partial 16S ribosomal RNA". It matches the Rfam family "Bacterial small subunit ribosomal RNA", at positions 524 to 776 of the family's 1533-position model. The record is from RNAcentral.